This 245-nucleotide ribosomal RNA is filed under the name uncultured Pedobacter sp. RNAcentral's name for it is "partial 16S ribosomal RNA". It matches the Rfam family "Bacterial small subunit ribosomal RNA", at positions 524 to 768 of the family's 1533-position model. The record is from RNAcentral. Lineage: Bacteria; Pseudomonadati; Bacteroidota; Sphingobacteriia; Sphingobacteriales; Sphingobacteriaceae.
UACGGAGGACCCAAGCGUUAUCCGGAUUUAUUGGGUUUAAAGGGUGCGUAGGCGGCUUUUUAAGUCAGGGGUGAAAGACGGUAGCUCAACUACCGCAGUGCCUUUGAUACUGAAGGGCUUGAAUACACUAGAGGUAGGCGGAAUGUGACAAGUAGCGGUGAAAUGCAUAGAUAUGUCACAGAACACCGAUUGCGAAGGCAGCUUACUAUGGUGUGAUUGACGCUGAGGCACGAAAGCGUGGGGAU